RNAcentral lists this long non-coding RNA (614 nucleotides) under Vigna radiata. RNAcentral describes it as "long non-coding RNA (VRAD_LNC018031)". Lineage: Eukaryota; Viridiplantae; Streptophyta; Magnoliopsida; Fabales; Fabaceae. The record is from RNAcentral.
AACUGUAACCACGAAUCCAGAAAAGUUGUGGAUCACGAAAUCAUAUUCCCAACAUAGAAGAAGAAGCUGAGAAGGGAAAAGUAACAAAGUAAAGAUUUUGAUAACAAGGAAAAAAGCUGAAAUUAAAUCGUGAGAGAGAAGAAGAAAUAUGGUUAGGAAAGAAGAGGAGUGAGUGGCGUUAGGAGUUAUAUUUGAAUGAGAAAGAGAGAGUUUUAGUGAGAUGGUUAUGAACUAGGAGAUGGUUUGGAGAGAGGUUGGAGAUGAAGAAGUGGUGAUUAGGGUGGAGGUCACUGGUAUGGAAGUAUGGAAAAGAAGAAUAAAUAUAAAUGAGAAGUAGAAUGUUGGAAUUUGGAGAGAAGAAUGGUAUGUGAGGAGCGAAGGGGUUAUGUCGGGGUAUGGGGGUAAUGCCGCAGCAAUAAAGAAGGGAAUAGGGUUUUAAAUUAAAAUAAGUAAAAGUAAAAAAUAAAUAUUUAUAUAAGAUAAAAAGAAGGUUAUUUUUGUAAUUAAAAAAAUUAUAAAAAUUUGGGGAGGUGGAGGGACGUGGGGGUGGAGGGAAUAACACCCAAAAAAUUAAAUUUUUCAAACCCAACCCGGCCCAAACCCGUGGUGAGCCG